RNAcentral lists this ribosomal RNA (492 nucleotides) under uncultured bacterium. Its description in RNAcentral is "partial 16S ribosomal RNA". It matches the Rfam family "Bacterial small subunit ribosomal RNA", at positions 29 to 507 of the family's 1533-position model. The record is from RNAcentral.
AGUGAACGCUGGCGGUAGGCCUAACACAUGCAAGUCGAACGGCAGCACAGUAAGAGCUUGCUCUUACGGGUGGCGAGUGGCGGACGGGUGAGGAAUACAUCGGAAUCUACUUUUUCGUGGGGGAUAACGUAGGGAAACUUACGCUAAUACCGCAUACGACCUACGGGUGAAAGCAGGGGAUCUUCGGACCUUGCGCGAUUGAAUGAGCCGAUGUCGGAUUAGCUAGUUGGCGGGGUAAAGGCCCACCAAGGCGACGAUCCGUAGCUGGUCUGAGAGGAUGAUCAGCCACACUGGAACUGAGACACGGUCCAGACUCCUACGGGAGGCAGCAGUGGGGAAUAUUGGACAAUGGACGCAAGCCUGAUCCAGCCAUACCGCGUGGGUGAAGAAGGCCUUCGGGUUGUAAAGCCCUUUUGUUGGGAAAGAAAAGCAGCAGGUUAAUACCCCGCUGUUCUGACGGUACCCAAAGAGUAAGCACCGGCUAACUUCGUG